Molecule: long non-coding RNA, 627 nt
Filed under: Ananas comosus (pineapple)
Lineage: Eukaryota; Viridiplantae; Streptophyta; Magnoliopsida; Poales; Bromeliaceae
Description: long non-coding RNA (ACOM_LNC019494)
Source: RNAcentral
UAUCGCGAAGAUGGCGAUAUGAAGAUGGCGAACAACAACAGUACUCGUCCAUUUUUUUAUUAUCAUUUUUAUCACGUUUUGUUCAAGUGCACGGGGUUUAAUCGUAUCGAGCCUAUCACGAAGAUGGCCGCUCGAUUACUCCUUUCGACCAUGUCGGGCCUAUUACGAAGAUGGCCGCACGGUUUAUGUAGUAAAAUAAACGGGCUUGAUCGUGUCAAGCAUAUCGCGAAGAUAGUCGCUCGAUUAACCGUUUUAACCAUGUCGAGCCUAUCGCGAAGAUGGCCGCACGAUUUUCGUAGCAAAAUAUCCGAUGCUUGAUCAACAAUUUCGACUAUGUCGAGCCUAUUGCGAAGAUGACCGCACGGUUUAAAUAAUAAAAUAUCCGGUGCUUGUUCGACCGUAUCGAGCCUAUCACGAAGAUGACCGCACGAUUUAGAGAUUAGCGAUGCAUACGUACGACGGAAGUGACGAUUUGAUGUCAAAUUUGAUCGGUUCGAAACCUAUCAUGAAGAUGGUCGGGUUGAUCAAACCAACAAAAAAAAUCGCACUUACGUUUUUCGUAUGCAUGCACAUCUUUUGUUGUCGUAGAAGUCAUCAUAGUUGUCGUUGUUGCCAGAGUCCUUUUUU